RNAcentral lists this ribosomal RNA (285 nucleotides) under Parahaemophilus parainfluenzae. RNAcentral's name for it is "Haemophilus parainfluenzae partial 23S ribosomal RNA". It matches the Rfam family "Bacterial large subunit ribosomal RNA", at positions 1 to 279 of the family's 2925-position model. The record is from RNAcentral. Lineage: Bacteria; Pseudomonadati; Pseudomonadota; Gammaproteobacteria; Pasteurellales; Pasteurellaceae.
GUUGUAUAGUUAAGUGACUAAGCGUACAAGGUGGAUGCCUUGGCAAUCAGAGGCGACGAAGGACGUGCUAAUCUGCGAAAAGCUUGGAUGAGUCGAUAAGAGGCGUUUAAUCCAAGAUGUCCGAAUGGGGAAACCCAGUAGAUGAAGAAUCUACUAUCACUUACUGAAUCCAUAGGUAAGUGAGGCAAACCGGGAGAACUGAAACAUCUAAGUACCCCGAGGAAAAGAAAUCAACCGAGAUUUCGUUAGUAGCGGCGAGCGAACGCGAAGGAGCCUGUUAGUGAU